Molecule: long non-coding RNA, 1591 nt
Filed under: Homo sapiens (human)
Lineage: Eukaryota; Metazoa; Chordata; Mammalia; Primates; Hominidae
Description: HSALNT0115827
Source: RNAcentral
UAUUGCCUAGGUUUUCUUCUAGGGUUUUUAUGGUUUUAGGCCUUACAUUUAAAUCUUUAGUCCAUCUUGAGUUAAUUUUUGUAUAAGGUGUAAGGAAGAGAAGGAACUGUUCGAGCAGGAGGGCGAUGGGAACGGUGUAGCGAUCUGUGACCCAACUGAAAGAGGAAGGCAGUGGGCAGCAGUGGGCAGAAAGCGCGCCGGUGGCGCUGCAGCAGCCCGGAGUCGCCCGGAGGCUGACCCAGGUGGGAGUGCUGGGGCUGCAUUUAAUGAGGGUGUGCCCGCCCCUGCGCGGACGUUCCCCGCCCGUGUUCACUGCGUACUGGGUGCGAGGUCAGCAACACAUUUUAUGAGGGACCGACGGCCUGCUAGCUGCUGGGGGCAGGUAGGGAACAGUAAGGAGAGCAGUCAGCGGACCUCCUGAAAAGGGGCGGGAGCCAUGCAGACAGCCCGCAAGAGUUUCCCAGGCAGAGGGGACUGUCGAGCCCCGGAGGUAGGGACAGAUGCAUCCAAGGGAACACAGAUUGCCACACCGCCAGAGAACAGGAGAAAGGGCCUCGGGACAGCAAGCCACAGGACAGAGGGCUCGGGACAGUGGGCCAUGGGAAGGACGUAGGGCAGAGGAGCACAGAGCUUGUCCCAGACACUGAGCCAGGCAAGGGGGACACAGAGAGGAAGUUCAACUCCUGGUGGACACCAGGAAGCCCAGGAGAAAAGCAGGACGUGCUCGGUGGUGGAGGGCGGGCGGGGCACCAAGGAAUGGCCGCAGUGCCGGGGCCGCAGGUCUAGGAGGGAGCCCUGGACUACGACAGAGGAUGAGGGAGCCUUCCAGAGAAGGCGGCAGGAGAAGGCCGAGGAGCGAAAGGGAGUGGGUUGGGUUCCCGGGAGCUGAGGCCCAGAGUGGGAGCCACAGCCGGGGGCCCCCAAGGGUGGAGCCCAGGGAAGGGAGAUGCGAGGAGACUCCAGGGCGCUUUGACAGCGAGUGGGGCGUGUCCCCAAGGCAGCGGAGGAAGCUGCAGUGUCGUCCAGGAGUCGGAGUUUAGGAGGCGUGGCGCAGUCCUGGAUUUGGUAUAGUCACACUCAUCAGAGCAGAUCACAGCACAGGAGGAAAUGAAAGACAGUGCCAAGUACCUACCGUGUCUUUGAGUUUGAAGGCUGACUGUGAUUUCGCCCUCUAAGGGGUUCCUCUGCUUUCAGAUUUUCUACAAUGAUUAUGUACUUAGAGUGGAAAAAGAAUGCUUUAAAAUAAUCAAACUCUGAUUAUGCACAAGCACUCAAAUAGGAGCUGGAAUCAGAGAAGAGAGAGACAGAAACGAAGCCAGUCUCAGAACAGAAAAUUGACUACUUGUGCGGAAUCCUGUCCACGGAGAACGUUGAACUUGGUUUCCAGUGCGGACUAAAUGUGAGGGGCACUAGUUUCUGCGCCUGCUGCUCUCCCUACCUUCCUCCCUCCUUUUCACCUGCCGACUCCCGCUGGCCACAGUCUCAGCUGGGACUUCACUGCCCCGGAAGCCUGCAGGAGCUGCUCCCCGCCACGUGGCUCUGAUCCUCUACUACUGUGCUGACCUGGGCCCCCACCUGCCCUCCCAGCUUC